Molecule: ribosomal RNA, 459 nt
Filed under: uncultured bacterium
Lineage: Bacteria
Description: SSU rRNA
Rfam family: Bacterial small subunit ribosomal RNA
Source: RNAcentral
AGAAUCAACGCUGGCGGCGUGCCUAACACAUGCAAGUCGCACGAGAAAGGGGAGCAAUCCCUGAGUACAGUGGCGCACGGGUGAGUAACACGUGAAUAAUCUACCUCCGAGUGGGGAAUAACUGAGAGAAAUCUUAGCUAAUACCGCAUAAUACCCACGGGUCAAAGCAGCAAUGCGCUUGGAGAGGAGUUCGCGGCAGAUUAGUUAGUUGGCGGGGGUAAUGGCCCACCAAGACGAUGAUCUGUAUCCGGCCUGAGAGGGCGCACGGACACACUGGAACUGAAACACGGUCCAGACUCCUACGGGAGGCAGCAGUGGGGAAUUUUGCGCAAUGGGGAAACCCUGACGCAGCAACGCCGCGUGGAGGAUGAGCCCCGUUGGGUGUAAACUCCUUUCGAUCGGGAAGAUAAUGACGGUACCGAUAUAAGAACGCCCGGCUAACUUCGCGCCAGCAGCCGC